Molecule: ribosomal RNA, 402 nt
Filed under: Bacteroidota bacterium
Lineage: Bacteria; Pseudomonadati; Bacteroidota
Description: Bacteroidetes bacterium partial 16S ribosomal RNA
Rfam family: Bacterial small subunit ribosomal RNA
Source: RNAcentral
UGGGGAAUUUUGCACAAUGGGGGAAACCCUGAUGCAGCGACGCCGCGUGAUUUAGAAGGCCUUCGGGUUGUAAAAAUCUUUUUUACGGGAUGAAAAUGACAGUACCGUAAGAAUAAGGUCCGGCUAAAUACGUGCCAGCAGCCGCGGUAAUACGUAUGGACCGAGCGUUGUCCGGAAUCAUUGGGCGUAAAGGGUACGUAGGCGGCCUAGUAAGUUAGAAGUUAAAGAAUAUAGCUCAACUAUAUAAAGCUUUUAAAACUGCUAGGCUUGAGAGAUGGAAGGGAAAGUGGAAUUCCUAGUGUAGCGGUGAAAUGCGCAGAUAUUAGGAAGAAUACCGGUGGCGAAGGCGACUCUCUGGUCUGUAACUGACGCUGAGGCUCGAAAGCGUGGGUAGCAAACAGG